This 310-nucleotide unclassified non-coding RNA is filed under the name Hevea brasiliensis (rubber tree). The record is from RNAcentral. Lineage: Eukaryota; Viridiplantae; Streptophyta; Magnoliopsida; Malpighiales; Euphorbiaceae.
GGACUGUAAAAAUUACUCCGAUUUUUCGUCUUUAAACCCAAAAUAAAAAAACUGUCCAUCGACGAUGUAAACCCGAUUACGUAUUUACGUUACGCGCCCUAGUCGUCCUCAGUCCGUAUAGUCUUUCUCAUUUCUGUUCUGGCGAAUCAAACCAAAUCUGAAUCGAAAUCCUACUCAUCGCCACCAUCAGCACCACCGCCAGCAAAGUCAAUGGCAAAUCCAACAAGCAAGCUGCUGAUCUCGAUGCUGGUAGCUCUCUUCUCGGUGUCAUGUUCGCUUGCUAGCGCAGAUGUUCCCUUCAUAGUAGCCA